ACGAACGUUGGCGGCGUGCUUAAUACAUGCAAGUCGCGCGAGAAAGCCGGGGCAACUCGGCGAGUACAGCGGCGGAAGGGUGCGUAAUACAUGGAUAACGUGCCCUCGAGUUGGGGAUAACCCUCCGAAAGGUGGGCUAAUACCGAAUGACGGCGCGGGGCGGCAUCGCUUCGCGCUCAAUGCCGAGAGGCGCUCGAGGAGCGGUCCAUGGCCUAUCAGCUAGUUGGCGGGGUAACGGCCCACCAAGGCGAUGACGGGUAGCCGGACUGAGAGGUUGAACGGCCACACGGGAACUGAGACACGGUCCCGACAUCUACGGAUGGCAGCAGUAGGGAAUCUUGCGCAAUGGGCGAAAGCCUGACGCAGCGACGCCGCGUGGGGGAUGAAGGCCUUCGGGUUGUAAACCCCUUUCAUGAGGAAGGAACACUGACCACCUCAGGAAGAAGCACCGGCUAACUCCGU
This 462-nucleotide ribosomal RNA is filed under the name uncultured bacterium. RNAcentral describes it as "bacterial SSU rRNA". It matches the Rfam family "Bacterial small subunit ribosomal RNA", at positions 29 to 506 of the family's 1533-position model. The record is from RNAcentral.